CACAACGGCACUUGACAGUCUGGAAUAGUCUGUACACUACUGUAAAAAUACACUCGGCAUCUUAGCACGAGUAUAAAUGCAUUCUACACUAUUCUGAGUAUUCACCGCCUACAAACUGCGGCGAUACAAACAAACUACGGCUUCUAGAGCUAAAUCUGAUAGUUUGAGCAAUUGACGGUAUAGAAUCGAUAGUUUUCUCCUAAGUCAAUUCCCAAUCCAACAUGUAUAAUUUAUCUAAAUCACUACUAUAUGCUCCAAAUUCAUAUUUCAAUAAGCAAACAAAUCGAUGAAUUCGAGCUAACAUAACAU
This 309-nucleotide long non-coding RNA is filed under the name Ananas comosus (pineapple). RNAcentral's name for it is "long non-coding RNA (ACOM_LNC033641)". The record is from RNAcentral. Lineage: Eukaryota; Viridiplantae; Streptophyta; Magnoliopsida; Poales; Bromeliaceae.